RNAcentral lists this ribosomal RNA (247 nucleotides) under uncultured Bacillota bacterium. RNAcentral's name for it is "uncultured Firmicutes bacterium partial 16S ribosomal RNA". It matches the Rfam family "Bacterial small subunit ribosomal RNA", at positions 796 to 1041 of the family's 1533-position model. The record is from RNAcentral. Lineage: Bacteria; Bacillati; Bacillota.
CACGCCGUAAACGAUGAAUACUAGGUGUAGGGGGUAUCGACCCCUCCUGUGCCGGAGUUAACACAAUAAGUAUUCCACCUGGGGAGUACGGCCGCAAGGCUGAAACUCAAAGGAAUUGACGGGGGCCCGCACAAGCAGUGGAGUAUGUGGUUUAAUUCGACGCAACGCGAAGAACCUUACCAGGGCUUGACAUCCUCUGACCGCAUAAGAGAUUAUGUUUUCCCUUCGGGGACAGAGAGACAGGUGG